RNAcentral lists this ribosomal RNA (233 nucleotides) under uncultured bacterium. RNAcentral's name for it is "partial 16S ribosomal RNA". It matches the Rfam family "Bacterial small subunit ribosomal RNA", at positions 976 to 1207 of the family's 1533-position model. The record is from RNAcentral.
UGGGUUUGAACUGUACAGGCAAGUCUCAGAGAUGAGAGCCCCUCUUCGGAGGACUGUACAGAGGUGCUGCAUGGCUGUCGUCAGCUCGUGUCGUGAGAUGUUGGGUUAAGUCCCGCAACGAGCGCAACCCUUAUUCACAGUUACUAACGGGUAGAGCCGAGAACUCUGUGGAGACUGCCGGUGAUAAACCGGAGGAAGGUGGGGAUGACGUCAAGUCCUCAUGGCCUUUAUGU